CCUACGGGUCGCUGCAGUGGGGAAUAUUGGACAAUGGGCGAAAGCCUGAUCCAGCCAUGCCGCGUGUGUGAAGAAGGCCUUCGGGUUGUAAAGCACUUUCAGUGGGGAAGAAAGCCUUGGGGCUAAUACCCUCGAGGAAGGACAUCACCCACAGAAGAAGCACCGGCUAACUCCGUGCCAGCAGCCGCGGUAAUACGGAGGGUGCGAGCGUUAAUCGGAAUUACUGGGCGUAAAGCGCGCGUAGGCGGUCUGAUAAGCCGGUUGUGAAAGCCCCGGGCUCAACCUGGGAACGGCAUCCGGAACUGUCAGGCUAGAGUGCAGGAGAGGAAGGUAGAAUUCCCGGUGUAGCGGUGAAAUGCGUAGAGAUCGGGAGGAAUACCAGUGGCGAAGGCGGCCUUCUGGACUGACACUGACGCUGAGGUGCGAAAGCGUGGGUAGCAAACAGGAUUAGAUACCCUUGUAGUC
This 465-nucleotide ribosomal RNA is filed under the name Vreelandella stevensii. Its description in RNAcentral is "partial 16S ribosomal RNA". It matches the Rfam family "Bacterial small subunit ribosomal RNA", at positions 338 to 795 of the family's 1533-position model. Lineage: Bacteria; Pseudomonadati; Pseudomonadota; Gammaproteobacteria; Oceanospirillales; Halomonadaceae. The record is from RNAcentral.